CCUCCAUUUCAUUGUUUUCGACACGGAGAUGGCUCAUGACAUCCUCAAGGUCUGGGACGGGCCGGUGGACAGUGACAUCCUGCUGAAGGAGUGGAGUGGCUCUGCCCUUCCCGAGGACAUCCACAGCACCUUCAACUCACUCACCCUGCAGUUCGACAGCGACUUCUUCAUCAGCAAGUCUGGCUUCUCCAUCCAGUUCUCCAGAUCUCAGGCUGGAACAUGAAGACGCUUGUCUGACCACCCCAAAGCCAGUCAUUCAGCCACUCUCCACAAAAUGUAGCUUGCCACUUCUGGGAACCAGUGAGAAUCGGGCACCAGUCUCCAUCUCCCUGAGAACCUGACAAACAUUUGACUCCUACACCUGGAAUAAAUCAUGUCCUGGUUUUCUAGUUUUAGAAAAGAAGGUUCCUAUAACCCUUCAGUCGUAAUUAAGAAACUGAACCAGGAACCCUGCUUCAUCGCAGGAAGAAACUGGGCUGUUAUGUCCCCCUCACUCCACCCACAUUCCUCCCCUCACUGGGGAAUCCAGCCAUGAAACUAAAUCAAGCUGGUGUCUUUCCAAGCCAGAGGUGGGAAACUCUUCACAAAGUGCAAAAGAACCUGUCCAUCACACCCGAGAAGCCAUCCCCACUCUUUUGUAGAUGGGAGGAUGGGUGGGAGAUGGAAAUCUCUCAUUUUUUUCUUUAUGAACCUGGGACCAAAAAAAACGAGGAACUUUACCUAUAAAUUAGAUUGUGUUGUGAUUUAUAAACCAUGCUAAUUUUAUAAUUUAGAACAUUGGAAUUAGUUAUGAUUUAAAACAUUUUUAAAUAGAACUCAAAAAGAAAUGUUUUCCUCAUAUGAUUGAUGUUUUAAGUGUGGCCAUUGUUUCCAAGCAAAAAUGACAUUUAUUCAAUUGUAUUAAAUUAGAUUUCUUGGUAGGCUAUUUUUACUUGAUUCUAUGUCAAUAACAUGUGAAAUAAGCAUUAGAGGUGUGAUUAAAUUAUUGGAGAGAAAAU
RNAcentral lists this small RNA (998 nucleotides) under Pongo abelii (Sumatran orangutan). RNAcentral describes it as "processed transcript". Lineage: Eukaryota; Metazoa; Chordata; Mammalia; Primates; Hominidae. The record is from RNAcentral.